RNAcentral lists this transfer RNA (73 nucleotides) under Deltaproteobacteria bacterium. RNAcentral's name for it is "tRNA-Ala". It matches the Rfam family "tRNA". Rfam says of the family: Transfer RNA (tRNA) molecules are approximately 80 nucleotides in length. Their secondary structure includes four short double-helical elements and three loops (D, anti-codon, and T loops). The record is from RNAcentral. Lineage: Bacteria; Pseudomonadati; Myxococcota; Myxococcia.
GGGGCUGUAGCUCAGUUGGGAGAGCGCGGGCUUUGCAAGCCUGAGGUCGUCGGUUCGAAUCCGAUCAGCUCCA